AUUGAACGCUGGCGGCAGGCCUAACACAUGCAAGUCGAGCGGUAACAGGAGAAAGCUUGCUUUCUUGCUGACGAGCGGCGGACGGGUGAGUAAUGUAUGGGGAUCUGCCCGAUAGAGGGGGAUAACUACUGGAAACGGUGGCUAAUACCGCAUGACGUCUACGGACCAAAGCAGGGGCUCUUCGGACCUUGCGCUAUCGGAUGAACCCAUAUGGGAUUAGCUAGUAGGUGGGGUAAAGGCUCACCUAGGCGACGAUCUCUAGCUGGUCUGAGAGGAUGAUCAGCCACACUGGGACUGAGACACGGCCCAGACUCCUACGGGAGGCAGCAGUGGGGAAUAUUGCACAAUGGGCGCAAGCCUGAUGCAGCCAUGCCGCGUGUAUGAAGAAGGCCUUAGGGUUGUAAAGUACUUUCAGCGGGGAGGAAGGUGUUAAGAUUAAUACUCUAGCAAUUGACGUACCCGCNAAAGCC
This 470-nucleotide ribosomal RNA is filed under the name Proteus vulgaris. RNAcentral describes it as "bacterial SSU rRNA". It matches the Rfam family "Bacterial small subunit ribosomal RNA", at positions 30 to 489 of the family's 1533-position model. The record is from RNAcentral. Lineage: Bacteria; Pseudomonadati; Pseudomonadota; Gammaproteobacteria; Enterobacterales; Morganellaceae.